UCCCAGCAGUCCAAGUCGCAGCCACAUUUGUUGGGUCUAAAACAUCCGUAGCUCGCCUAGUAAGUUCUUGGUGAAAUCGGGCCUCUUAAGGGUCCGGCGUGCCUAGAAUACUGCUUGGCUAGGGACCGGGAGGCGUAAGAAGUAUGAUGGGGGUAGCGGUAAAAUGUGUUGAGAUUGGGAAGAACACCGGUGGCGAAAGCGCUCUACUGGACUUAUACUGACACUGAGGGACGAAAGCUAGGGGAGCGAAAGG
This 253-nucleotide ribosomal RNA is filed under the name uncultured archaeon. RNAcentral describes it as "partial 16S ribosomal RNA". It matches the Rfam family "Archaeal small subunit ribosomal RNA", at positions 474 to 726 of the family's 1478-position model. The record is from RNAcentral.